Molecule: ribosomal RNA, 475 nt
Filed under: uncultured organism
Description: partial 16S ribosomal RNA
Rfam family: Bacterial small subunit ribosomal RNA
Source: RNAcentral
UACACUCCUACGGGAGGCAGCAGUGGGGAAUAUUGCACAAUGGGCGCAAGCCUGAUGCAGCCAUGCCGCGUGUAUGAAGAAGGCCUUCGGGUUGUAAAGUACUUUCAGCGGGGAGGAAGGCGAUAAGGUUAAUAACCUUGUCGAUUGACGUUACCCGCAGAAGAAGCACCGGCUAACUCCGUGCCAGCAGCCGCGGUAAUACGGAGGGUGCAAGCGUUAAUCGGAAUUACUGGGCGUAAAGCGCACGCAGGCGGUCUGUCAAGUCGGAUGUGAAAUCCCCAGGCUCAACCUGGGAACUGCAUUCGAAACUGGCAGGCUAGAGUCUUGUAGAGGGGGGUAGAAUUCCAGGUGUAGCGGUGAAAUGCGUAGAGAUCUGGAGGAAUACCGGUGGCGAAGGCGGCCCCCUGGACAAAGACUGACGCUCAGGUGCGAAAGCGUGGGGAGCAAACAGGAUUAGAUACCCUUGUAGUCCCAU